Sander lucioperca (pikeperch) is the source of this 2785-nucleotide long non-coding RNA. RefSeq lists it as uncharacterized. The record is from RefSeq and is a predicted model, not a curated record. The transcript has 2 exons. Lineage: Eukaryota; Metazoa; Chordata; Actinopteri; Perciformes; Percidae.
ACUGUAUACACCGUAGACACCAUAAAUCACACUUUACGUAGGUCUGGCAAUGCAAGGCUAUGAGUGCAUUGAUGGGGGGAGAGGCUGUGACUAGUUUAGACAUUUAAACAUUUAGUAAUGCUGUCAUGUUUCCAAAUCUCAGUGAUUAAAGUGGUGAGUACAAUUACCAGAAUUAUAAACCAGAAUUAUCCUUUGCAGGAUAAUGUAGGGCUAGUGGUGAUGAAUUAUAUCUGCUUGCUGCCUCUACUCUCCAGUCCACUUUCACCUCCACAAUCUCCAACAGUUAAAGCAAAGCUGUGUUUUCUACUUCAUCAUUAAUUCUCGAAAAGCAGAAAUACAAAUACAUUCAUCAUCUGCUGAAAAGGGCUUUCAACGAAAAUGGAAUCCAAAUUCUGGACUUUUAUGUUGUGAACGUUGCUGUACUGUAAACCUCUUAGAAUGGUGAAUGGGAAGGGAUUUUCAGAUGCAGAACUUGAAUCAUAACCUCACAAUUUACCAGUUUAAUGACUACUACAGUGAUCAUGCUUCGUCAUCAUCAAGAACAACUUGACACAUAGUAUGGUGCUACAGCUGGUUGGUUCGUAGUUAAAUCUGAAUUUCUAAAAUGUUUGUGGAGGAACAUAAUAGAAAUGUACUUCCUGUAUGAGUAGUUACACCACAGUACAUCUCCACUAAUCAUCAAGUCAAGCCACAAACUGUAGAUCACAGAGGCUUAAAAAAAUAAACGGACUUCCCCUUUAUUUACAAAAUAUGCAGUGCAGACGGAGGCCUUAAGCCUUGCCGUGUGACACUUUGUGUAACUUCCUUGCAAUAAAUGUGACAAUGCUGUAAAUGUGGUAAAAGAGUUUUUUAUAAUACAAAGAAUUAUAGUACAGAGUAGCAGUGUGUUGUAACUUUGAUGAGGAAACUAACAUGUGGGAAUCACUAAUUCUUGGCACCCAACAGCUACGUGUCAUUAGUACUGUGUGGAAGUUCUCCAGAUGUGUCCUGUCUGCUUAUUUGAAUAAUCUCGGUGACUAUGUAAUGGGCUAAGUUUUAACUACUCAACUCAAAACCAUGUAUGGUGAAGUCAGGCUAACUAGGUUAUGAGGCCAAAAGGGCAAGGUAAAGUUUGAGCAACCACCAGCUGCUGAAAAGAAUUUCAAACUGUCUCCACAAAAGUAGACCUACUUGACAUGCAGUGUUGGCCAGUAACACAAUACUCAGUAACAUAUUACUGUAAUAUUAUUACUACCGUACCGAGUAUCGUAAGGGAUUACAAUUUCCAAAAUGGUAAUUAUAUUACAGAUACUAAUCCAGGUAACACUGCGUUAUGGUGUUACCCCAAUGUGAUUUGUUCUUUGUCCCAGGUAGUCUUUCUUAUAUGAUAACGUGGAGUGUACGCCUGUCGUAAUUUAGCGCGCAGCAGGCCAGGGCAGGUCACGGAUAUUGCAGGAUAGGAUAUGGUUUGACAUGUUUGAAUGUUGGCAGUUAUGCAGUUUGGCUGGUUGCUGACUCCUCCUGUAAGGUUAAUAAUUGUUGCAAUAAAGUAUACUGAGUUCUAAAGUAGCUGGCAGGAUGUGCGUUUGUUUUGUGUUUUUUUAACACAAAUAGUAAUAUAGUAAUAAAACGAGUAACGUAACUAAUACUUUUGAUAAAUUAAUAUUUUUUAACUUUUUAAGGAGUAAUUAGUGAAGAGUAACAUAUUACACUUCCUGAGUAACUUGCCCAACACUGUUGACAUGUAAUUUAUGUAAUGUCCUUGCAAUAAGUGCGACAACAGAGAGUUUAAAAUAAAGUGAUACAGUUUGCUGUGAUAUGUGAUGACCAAUAGAGCUCAUGAUGUUCUGGGGAAUUCAACCGAGAAAUUAGUCAUGAACUCGUGAGAGAGUGGAGUCUUGUAUGACUGUUUAAUUAUGCGUAACCAACAAUGGAUAAUGUAAAGUCUUCAUUUGGAUGGUUUACCUCACCAGUGGCAGUGCAAUAAGUGUGAGUCACAGCUGUGUGUAAUGUUGCAAUGCUUUCAAAGGGAAUCCCAAUUGGGAUUUCACAACAUCACAACAUGCUAAUAAUAGAAGCUAUACAGUAGUUCAGUGAAUCUAAGAUCACAACUGGCAUGGAUAUCAUUGGUUCCCAGAGGAUGAUGCUGAAUGUUUUUGUGACCCCCCCUGACAAUUUGUCUAAAGCCACCAUCAGGCCAACACUAUUCUCCUUAUAGAUUUAAAUCAACCUGCUGUCUCGUCUCCAAUGUAUGUGUAUGUGGUUUGCUCAACCAGUCAGCGCGCAGCUCAUCUAAAUAUUCAUGAGCAUACCAUAUUUGGAAGAAAAUCUGUCGUUCCAAAUAGAGACAUUCCACAGGGAUGCAUAAGGGCCCAAAGAAUAGCACCUGGGACAUUUUCAGCCCAACCAAUAUUACAUACCCUAUUAGGAAACCUUAAGGAACAGUGUGGAAAUACCCUAUAUAAUCAUUCUAUCACCCCUUUAAGAUUAUUUUGUCAAAUUAUUAAACACUAUUUUUCUUGUAUAGUCAAGGACCGAAGCACACCACAUAGCAUGCAAAUUGUGUGUGUGUGUGUGUGUGUGUGUGUGUGUGUGUGUGUGUGUGUGUGUAUUUCUCACAAAAGUUGUUUUUUAAUGGGCUGUGUUUGCUGUUGCUUUCAUGUUUUUAAUUUAGCGUGUUGUUACAUGCCUGGGGUAGGGACUUAUAGAAUGUCCACACAUCUUGUUGUCAUCACGUUCUUGUCAUUCUCCAACUUAUGGCCACUGGUUUGAUGUGCAAUAAACAUGCAUGUGUGUUACAGUAAUA